Theobroma umbraticum is the source of this 3402-nucleotide RNA transcript. It is a transcript of the gene named armadillo repeat kinesin 2, with no coding region annotated. The record is from RefSeq and is a predicted model, not a curated record. Lineage: Eukaryota; Viridiplantae; Streptophyta; Magnoliopsida; Malvales; Malvaceae.
GGGUCCCUUUCUCCCCUCUCCCUCCAUCAUCCCUUUGUUUUGAACGAAAUCCAAUUCCGACACCGAAAAUUAGCACUGUAACUACGCCUGCUUUCUAUAUUUAUUCAUUGCUUUAAAAUUCUUUGAAAACAAGCCAAACUCAAAAGAGUAAAAAAAUAAAGAAAACAAGUGAUGGCUUCCGGUGGUAAUAGAAAUGGUAUGCACAAGGGAACAGUUAAGCCUCCCAGUGCAGCAAAUUCAUCAAAUCUCAAGUCAUCUUCGUUCAAAUCAAGACUUCCUCCUUCAAAUCAGUCUCCAGGAUCUGCUCUUCGCCGGACCAACUCCGCUUCUUUCACCACCGCCGCCAGAGACGACGGAGUGCCAGGAAGAGUUCGAGUAGCCGUUAGAUUACGGCCGCGAAAUGCGGAAGAGUUGGUUGCAGACGCAGAUUUUGCCGAUUGCGUAGAAUUACAACCUGAGCUUAAGAGGCUUAAACUCAGGAAGAACAAUUGGGAUUCAGAAACAUACGAGUUUGAUGACGUGCUUACCGAAUUCGCUUCGCAGAAACGUGUCUAUGAAGUUGUUGCUAAGCCUGUUGUAGAGAGUGUUCUGGAUGGUUACAAUGGGACUGUUAUGGCUUAUGGGCAGACUGGAACUGGGAAAACUUUUACUCUUGGACGAUUGGGUGAGGAAGAUACCUCUGCUCGUGGAAUAAUGGUGCGCUCAAUGGAGGAGAUUUUAGCAAAUGUUUCUCUGGAAACAGAUUCUGUCUCUGUUUCAUAUUUGCAGCUUUACAUGGAGGCUAUCCAGGAUCUCCUUGAUCCGGCAAAUGAUAAUAUUUCCAUAGUGGAAGAUCCGAAAACUGGAGAUGUUUCUUUACCAGGGGCAACUCAUGUAGAAAUUAGGGAUGAGCAUAGUUUUUUGGAGCUGUUGAGAUUAGGGGAAGCUCAUCGAAUUGCCGCAAAUACAAAGUUGAAUACUGAAUCUUCUCGCAGUCAUGCUAUUUUGAUGGUACAUGUUAAGAGAUCAGUUUUGGGAGUGGAAGAUGCAAUUCCAAGUGAAAUAGAGAAGUCUUCUCACUUUGUGAAACUUCCAAAGCCUCUUAUCCGGAGAAGCAAGCUGGUUUUGGUAGAUUUGGCAGGUUCAGAGCGUGUUCACAAGUCAGGAAGUGAGGGACACAUGUUGGAGGAAGCUAAGUCUAUUAACCUUUCACUGAGUGCUUUGGGGAAGUGCAUUAACGCUUUAGCAGAGAAUAGUGCUCAUGUUCCAGUUCGUGAUUCAAAACUUACAAGGCUGCUCAGAGAUUCAUUUGGAGGCACUGCCAGAACCUCACUAAUUGUGGCCAUUGGCCCCUCCCCACGGCAUCGAGGAGAGACCGCUAGUACAAUAUUGUUUGGCCAAAGGGCUAUGAAAGUGGAGAACAUGCUGAGAAUAAAGGAAGAGUUUGAUUAUAAGAGUUUGGCUAGAAGGCUUGAAAUACAGCUGGACAAGCUCAUUGCAGAAAAUGAAAGGCAACAGAAAGCUUUUGAUGAUGAAGUUGAAAGAAUAAACUUAGAAGCACAAAACCGUGCUUCUGAGGUUGAGAGAAAUUUCACAGAUGCCUUAGAGAAGGAGCGGCUAAAGUGCCAGAUGGAAUAUAUGGAAUCAGUUAAGAAGCUUGAGGAAAAGAUGAUAGAAAAUCAAGGAAAGCAUGGAUGCGAUGGCUUCAUGAACGAUAAAUGUAAUGGGAAGGGGCCUGGUUUUUCCAUUGCUGAGGAUGUUGUUGAGGUCAAAAGGCUGCUUGAGAAAGAAAUUAAUAUGAGAAAGGAUGCUGAAGAGGAGGUCAACAAACUUAGGAGUCAAUUAGGGCAAUGCACAGAUUCAGGGGCAGGUGGAGCUGCUGAAAUAUUAAAGCUCCAAAAAGCUCUGGAGGAUGAGGGUCAUCAAAAAAAGAAGCUUGAAGAAGAAAUAAUAAUACUAAGAAGUCAGAUGUUACAACUGACUUUUGAAGCUGAGCAGUUGAGAAGGUGUCUUGGAAGAGGUGGAUCUGGAAAUGCUUAUACUGGUCUAGAUUCUCCCAUGUCUCAAGUUAGGGACUCUUUAAAUGGACAUAAGACACCAGUUGCUGCACUAUUCGAACAAGUUGGACUGCAAAAGAUCUUGGCUUUGCUUGAGUCAGAAGAUGCCAAUGUACGCAUUCAUGCCGUAAAAGUAGUGGCCAACCUAGCAGCUGAAGAAGCAAACCAGGAAAGGAUUGUUGAAGCUGGUGGUCUUACUUCCUUGCUGAUGCUUCUCAGAAGCUAUGAGGAUGAAACUGUUCGCAGAGUAGCAGCAGGUGCAAUUGCCAAUCUUGCAAUGAAUGAAGCCAAUCAAGAACUCAUAAUGGUACAAGGGGGAAUCAGUUUGUUGUCUAUGACAGCAUCUGAUGCUGAGGAUCCUCAGACUCUACGCAUGGUUGCUGGAGCUAUAGCUAACCUAUGUGGCAAUGAUAAGCUACAAGCAAAGCUGAGGUCUGAAGGUGGAAUUAAGGCCUUGCUGGGGAUGGUGAGAUGCGGACAUCCAGAGGUUCUUUCCCAAGUUGCACGUGGAAUUGCCAAUUUUGCAAAAUGUGAAUCCCGUGCAUCUACUAAUGGUAUAAAAAGUGGGAGAUCACUUCUUAUUGAUGAUGGUGCACUUCCAUGGAUUGUGCAAAAUGCUAAUAAUGAUUCUGCACCCAUCAGGCGACACAUUGAGCUUGCGCUAUGCCAUUUGGCGCAGCAUGAAGUUAAUGCAAAGGACAUGAUAUGCGGAGGUGCCCUCUGGGAGCUGGUUCGUAUAUCACAGGACUGUUCUCGAGAGGACAUCAGGAGUCUUGCUCGUCGAACUUUGAAUUCAAGCCCUGUAUUUCGAGCUGAAAUGCGACGGCUAAGGAUAGAGUUGUGAUUGAGUCAAAAGUUCGAUGUAGGGAUAUGCGUAAAAUCUUGCCACUGUAUAGGCUAAGGUUGAGAGUAUUUAUACCCUAAGCUGAAAGAUCAUCAAGGGAGCACCUGGUUCGGCACAAUUUUUAUUUCGAAGGAAAUGUGCGGUGGGUUUGUAACAUAUGUUUUCUAGUUUCUUCAUUGAGCUUUUAGCAUAUCUGUAGGUAAAUGCAGAAAAAACCGAAAAAGGUUGGGAUCCAUGAAGAAAAAUUUUGUAGGUGAUUGAGUUGAGUUUCGCCAAAAGGUGGUAGAAAGAGUUAGAAAGGUAAGAGAACUGAUUGAAUGGUAAGCCCAGAACAAGCCAUGUAAUUUGGAAGGGCAUUGAUUAAUUAAAACAGAAAUGAAUGCCAAAGUGGCAAUGGGUAAACAAGAUUGCUAAAUGCCUUUGAAGGAUGAUUUAUGAACUUUUGUCAGCAGUAGGAUACAAAGAAAUGUGUACAUUUACAUUAAUUUGAUCUCAAACACCGACCACCACCCUUCAAUUGUA